Molecule: ribosomal RNA, 433 nt
Filed under: uncultured bacterium
Lineage: Bacteria
Description: bacterial SSU rRNA
Rfam family: Bacterial small subunit ribosomal RNA
Source: RNAcentral
AAUGAACGCUGGCGGCAGGCCUAACACAUGCAAGUCGAACGGAUCCUUCGGGAUUAGUGGCGGACGGGUGAGUAACGCGUGGGAACAUACCCUUUGGUACGGAAUAGCCUCGGGAAACUGGGAGUAAUACCGUAUGUGGUCGAGAGACGAAAGAUUUAUCGCCAAAGGAUUGGCCCGCGUUGGAUUAGGUAGUUGGUGGGGUAAUGGCCUACCAAGCCGACGAUCCAUAGCUGGUUUGAGAGGAUGAUCAGCCACACUGGGACUGAGACACGGCCCAGACUCCUACGGGAGGCAGCAGUGGGGAAUCUUAGACAAUGGGGGAAACCCUGAUCUAGCCAUGCCGCGUGAUCGAUGAAGGCCUUAGGGUUGUAAAGAUCUUUCAGGUGGGAAGAUAAUGACUGUACCACCAGAAGAAGCCCCGGCUAACUCCGUG